CACGUGAGUUACAUGCCCCGCAGUGGGGGAUAGCCCGCCGAAAGGCGGAUUAAUACCCCAUGGUAUCGCGAGAUUAAAGGUGGCUUCGGCUGCCGCUGCGGGAUUGGCUCGCGUCCUAUCAGCUUGUUGGUGAGGUAACGGCUCACCAAGGCGACGACGGGUAGCUGGUCUGAGAGGACGAUCAGUCACACUGGAACUGGAGACACGGUCCAGACACCUACGGGUGCAGCAGUCGAGAAUAAUUCACAAGUGGGGCAACCUGAUGGUGCAACGCCGCGUGGAGGAUGAAGGCCCUAGGGU
Molecule: ribosomal RNA, 300 nt
Filed under: uncultured Verrucomicrobiaceae bacterium
Lineage: Bacteria; Pseudomonadati; Verrucomicrobiota; Verrucomicrobiia; Verrucomicrobiales; Verrucomicrobiaceae
Description: bacterial SSU rRNA
Rfam family: Bacterial small subunit ribosomal RNA
Source: RNAcentral